This 406-nucleotide ribosomal RNA is filed under the name uncultured bacterium. RNAcentral's name for it is "bacterial SSU rRNA". It matches the Rfam family "Bacterial small subunit ribosomal RNA", at positions 355 to 776 of the family's 1533-position model. The record is from RNAcentral.
UUGGGAAUCUUGCACAAUGGAGGAAACUCUGAUGCAGCGACGCCGCGUGGAGGAUGACGGGUCUAGGCCUGUAAACUCCUUUUAUCGGGAAAGACUUAGGACGGUACCCGAUGAAUAAGCACCGGCUAACUACGUGCCAGCAGCCGCGGUAAGACGUAGGGUGCAAGCGUUGUCCGGAUUUACUGGGCGUAAAGAGCGCGUAGGCGGUCUUUUAAGUGUGAAGUGAAAUCUCCAGGGCUCAACCCGGAAACUGCUUUACAUACUGGAAGACUUGAGGGAUGCAGAGGUUUGUGGAAUUCCUGGUGUAGCGGUGAAAUGCGUAGAUAUCAGGAGGAACACCCAUGGCGAAGGCAGCAAACUGGGCAUCAUCUGACGCUGAGGCGCGAAAGCGUGGGUAGCAAACAGG